UGGGGAAUUUUGCACAAUGGGGGAAACCCUGAUGCAGCGACGCCGCGUGAUUUAGAAGGCCUUCGGGUUGUAAAAAUCUUUUUUAUGGGAUGAAAAUGACAGUACCAUAAGAAUAAGGUCCGGCUAAAUACGUGCCAGCAGCCGCGGUAAUACGUAUGUCGCGAGCGUUAUCCGGAAUUAUUGGGCUUAAAGGGCAUCUAGGCGGUUAAACAAGUUGAAGGUGAAAACCUGUGGCUCAACCAUAGGCUUGCCUACAAAACUGUAUAACUAGAGUACUGGAAAGGUGGGUGGAACUACACGAGUAGAGGUGAAAUUCGUAGAUAUGUGUAGGAAUGCCGAUGAUGAAGAUAACUCACUGGACAGCAACUGACGCUGAAGUGCGAAAGCUAGGGGAGCAAACAGG
This 403-nucleotide ribosomal RNA is filed under the name Verrucomicrobiota bacterium. RNAcentral describes it as "Verrucomicrobia bacterium partial 16S ribosomal RNA". It matches the Rfam family "Bacterial small subunit ribosomal RNA", at positions 355 to 776 of the family's 1533-position model. The record is from RNAcentral. Lineage: Bacteria; Pseudomonadati; Verrucomicrobiota.